AUUAGAUACCCUAUUAUUUUAAAUGUAAAUUUUAAAUACUAAAUUAGUAAAAGUUAUGUUCUUUAAAAUUAAAAAAUUUGGCGGUAUUUUAGUCUUUUCAGAGGAACCUGUUCUAUAAUUGAUAGUCCACGAUAAGAUGAACUUUACUUAUUAGUUUACAUAUCGUCGUAGUUAGAAUAUUUUAUUAGAAAAUUAAUAUUCAAGAUUUUUAAUUAUAAAUUAAAUCAGAUCAAGGUGUAGUUUAUAGUAAAGGAGAAAUGGGUUACAUUAAAUUUAUUUAAGGAUGAUUUUUUUUAUAAAAAUCUGAAUGUGGAUUUGAAAGUAAUUUUUUAGGUUUAUUUAAAAUGAUUAUAGCUCUAAAAUAUGUACACAUCGCCCGUCGCUCUUA
This 388-nucleotide ribosomal RNA is filed under the name Sennius sp. NA-2005. RNAcentral's name for it is "partial 12S small subunit ribosomal RNA". The record is from RNAcentral. Lineage: Eukaryota; Metazoa; Arthropoda; Insecta; Coleoptera; Chrysomelidae.